GUCCGCAUCCCACCCGAGCUAUCAAGCCAAGGGCCACAUCCCACCCCGGCAAUCAAGCUAAGGUCCGCAUCCCACCAGAGCAAUCAAGCCAAGGGCCACAUCCCACCCCGGCAAUCAAGCUAAGGGCCGCAUCCCACCCGGGCAAUCAAGCCAAGGUCAACAUCCCACCCGGGCAAUCAAGCCAAGGUCAGCGAUCAUUAUCCCACCCGGGCAGUUAAGCCAAGGUCAGCAUCCCACCCGGACAGUCAAGCCAGGGUCAGCAACCCUCCCCAUUCCUCCGGGCUUGGGACCGGCUCUUAGUUGGGCUGGCUUGCCCCCCAAGAGGCUGGGUUAACAGUUUUGUUCCCCCUUUCUUCACCUCUUUCUACGUACAACAACUUUUGUUUUCCCAGUCUCCGUAAAAGAUGCAGUGGAAGGUUCACGGCACCUUCAGUUGUCUUUCAACAACUGUAAUUUCUUGUUUCUUUACUAACUUCAUCUGUUUCGUUAAUGACUUCCCUUUCCAACGUCUCCGCCUUCUUUUUUGAGGGUAAUUGUGUUUCUUCCUCAAAGUGUGUCCGCGAUUCGUCAUCACUCAACUAUACGUUGUUCUCCUUAGGAUCGUCAUCAAGGUUAUUGUAACGCAUAUAUUAAGGGCAUUUGGUGUUGGCGGCCUCUUCUGACCGCCUGCAGGGGCCGGGGACCUCCUCGGGGUCCCUCAGUAACUCCGUCCCUGCCGUGAGGGGGCCCAAUGCUUCCCCCUCGGCCCCCGCCCCCGGCCCUAGCAGGAAGACUGUUUGGCUCUUCACAAAAUGCCAAGACGAAG
This is a long non-coding RNA of Eriocheir sinensis (Chinese mitten crab), 805 nucleotides long. RefSeq lists it as uncharacterized. NCBI's taxonomy places the organism in Eukaryota, Metazoa, Arthropoda, Malacostraca, Decapoda, Varunidae. The transcript has 4 exons. The record is from RefSeq and is a predicted model, not a curated record.